ACUCCUACGGGAGGCAGCAUUGGGGAAGUAUUUGCACAAUGGGCGCAAGCCUGAUGCAGCCAUGCCGCGUGUGUGAAGAAGGCCUUCGGGUUGGUAAAGACACUUUCAGUCGUGAGGAAGGUAGUGUAGUUAAUAGCUGCAUUAUUUGACGUUAGCGACAGAAGAAAGCACCGGCUAACUCCGUGCCAGCAGCCGCGGUAAUACGG
This 206-nucleotide ribosomal RNA is filed under the name uncultured bacterium. RNAcentral's name for it is "partial 16S ribosomal RNA". It matches the Rfam family "Bacterial small subunit ribosomal RNA", at positions 335 to 528 of the family's 1533-position model. The record is from RNAcentral.